This 299-nucleotide long non-coding RNA is filed under the name Marmota monax (woodchuck). Lineage: Eukaryota; Metazoa; Chordata; Mammalia; Rodentia; Sciuridae. The record is from RNAcentral.
GUGAAAUACCACUUGCAUCAGGCACCUAUGUAAAAAUUAUACAUAGUGUUUUAUGCUCUUUUUUAAACUGGAUAUAUUAUGAAAUGAGACUGGCCCUAGUGACCAUUUUUCCUACAGAUUAUUAUUUAUCUCUUCCAAGAUGUAUAUUGUAUUGUGCCAUGCCCUUGGGCUUCAAGUGUUUGGGUGAGUACCAUUGCAUACUUAUAUGUUAUCAUGAUCACAUAUGCUCUAAUUUCAGUAAAUCUCUGUGAUGGGGAGUAUCAUGUAUAUUCAAUAUCAAAAUAGUUUCCACAAAUAGA